RNAcentral lists this ribosomal RNA (429 nucleotides) under Verrucomicrobiota bacterium. RNAcentral's name for it is "Verrucomicrobia bacterium partial 16S ribosomal RNA". It matches the Rfam family "Bacterial small subunit ribosomal RNA", at positions 355 to 776 of the family's 1533-position model. Lineage: Bacteria; Pseudomonadati; Verrucomicrobiota. The record is from RNAcentral.
UAGGGAAUCUUCCGCAAUGGACGAAAGUCUGACGGAGCAACGCCGCGUGAGUGAAGAAGGAUUUCGGUUCGUAAAACUCUGUUGUUAGGGAAGAAAAAAUGUAUAGUAACUAUAUACAAAAGAGACGGUACCUAACCAGAAAGCCACGGCUAACUACGUGCCAGCAGCCGCGGUAAUACGUAGGUGGCAAGCGUUGUCCGGAAUUAUUGGGCGUAAAGCGCGCGCAGGUGGUUUAGAAAGUCUGAUGUGAAAGCCCACGGCUCAACCGUGGAGGGUCAUUGGAAACUAAUAAACUUGAGUGCAGGAGAGAAAAGUGGAAUUCCUAGUGUAGCGGUGAAAUGCGUAGAGAUUCGGAGGAACACCGGUGGCGAAAGCGGCUUUUUGGCCUACAACUGACACUGAGGCGCGAAAGCGUGGGGAGCAAACAGG